AACGAACGCUGGCGGCAGGCCUAACACAUGCAAGUCGAGCGCGCCCUUCGGGGUGAGCGGCGGACGGGUGAGUAACGCGUGGGAACGUGCCCUUUUCUACGGAAUAGCCUCGGGAAACUGAGAGUAAUACCGUAUACCCCCUUUGGGGGAAAGAUUUAUCGGAAAAGGAUCGGCCCGCGUUGGAUUAGGUAGUUGGUGGGGUAAUGGCCUACCAAGCCGACGAUCCAUAGCUGGUUUGAGAGGAUGAUCAGCCACACUGGGACUGAGACACGGCCCAGACUCCUACGGGAGGCAGCAGUGGGGAAUCUUAGACAAUGGGGGCAACCCUGAUCUAGCCAUGCCGCGUGAGUGAUGAAGGCCUUAGGGUUGUAAAGCUCUUUCAGCUGGGAAGAUAAUGACGGUACCAGCAGAAGAAGCCCCGGCUAACUCCGUG
Molecule: ribosomal RNA, 433 nt
Filed under: uncultured bacterium
Lineage: Bacteria
Description: partial 16S ribosomal RNA
Rfam family: Bacterial small subunit ribosomal RNA
Source: RNAcentral